UCGAGGAUCUUCGGCAAUGGGCGCAAGCCUGACCGAGCGACGCCGCGUGGACGAUGAAGGCCUUCGGGUUGUAAAGUCCUUUCGGGGGCGAGAAAGGGAAACUUGAUCGAGCCCCAGAAGAAGCACGGGCUAAGUUCGUGCCAGCAGCCGCGGUAAGACGAACCGUGCGAACGUUGUUCGGAAUCACUGGGCUUAAAGGGCGCGUAGGCGGCCGCGAACGUCCGGGGUGAAAGCCCCCAGCUCAACUGGGGAAGUGCCCCGGAUACGGCGCGGCUCGAGUGGGGUAGGGGCGUGUGGAACUUCCGGUGGAGCGGUGAAAUGCGUAGAUAUCGGAAGGAACGCCGGUGGCGAAAGCGGCACGCUGGACCCCUUCUGACGCUGAGGCGCGAAAGCCAGGGGAGCAAACGG
Molecule: ribosomal RNA, 408 nt
Filed under: uncultured bacterium
Lineage: Bacteria
Description: bacterial SSU rRNA
Rfam family: Bacterial small subunit ribosomal RNA
Source: RNAcentral